UCUCUCUCUGUGUGGCUCGCUCCGUCGCUCGCUUUGCCAAUUCAUCUCUCUCUCUCUCUCUCCAAUUUCUUCGUCAUCAAGAUUCUCGAAGCUGACUUCGCUCGCGGUCGCUGUUCGAUUGGCCAAUCCCCUCGUUGCUCAAUCUCGCCGGCGGUGCCCCCCAUCUCGAGACUUCUGGCGUGGACGGAGCUUCCGGGUUGCGGCGGUUGUGUUGGCCCGUUGGCUGCAGCGAAAACCCUAGUGCUCUGCUUCGCGGCUGAGGAAGCUUGCGGUUGAAAUACGAUUGCUGCUGGUGUUUUCGGUUUGUUGUGGGGAAGGAGCUGAAAUUGGUGAAGUGACGAGUGGGGGCGAGCUGAGGAUCGCGAGCAUGGGCUCUGAGAAGCAGUCCAUGGGUUUCCUGGACACGCUUAAAAUGGAGCGAAUGAGGACUAUUCUGACACACACUUAUCCCUACCCUCACGAGCAUUCGAGGCAUGCUGUAAUUGCUGUAGCUGUCGGUUGCCUAUUCUUCAUAUCUUCGGACAAUAUGCACACUCUUAUUGAGAAGUUGGAUAACAACAUCAAGUGGUGGUCCAUGUAUGCUUGCUUGCUUGGUUUCUUCUAUUUCUUUUCGUCUCCAUUCGUUGGGAAGACCAUCAAGCCAAGUUAUUCGAAUUUCAGCAGAUGGUACAUUGCGUGGAUUUUAGUGGCGGCUCUGUAUCAUCUUCCCAGUUUUCAGUCAAUGGGAGUGGAUUUGAGGAUGAAUUUGUCUUUAUUUUUGACAAUUUAUGUCUCCUCCAUUAUAUUCCUUGCUGUCUUCCAUAUAAUAUUCCUUGGUCUUUGGUAUAUUGGACUUGUAUCUCGUGUGGCUGGAAAAAGGCCGGAGAUUUGGACCAUACUGCAGAAUUGCGCGGUUCUAAGCAUUGCCUGCUGUGUAUUUUAUAGCCACUGCGGCAACCGUGCUAUUCUGAAGCAAAGGCCAUUUGAGCGAAAAAGUUCUGGUUGGUUCUCUCUUUGGAAGAAAGAAGAAAGGAACACAUUGAUCUCGAAAUUCCUUCGGAUUCAUGAGUUUAAGGACCAGAUUUGCUCAUCUUGGUUUGCACCGGUUGGGUCUGCUAAUGAUUAUCCACUUUUGUCGAAGUGGGUCAUAUACGGGGAGGGCUCGGGUACUUCUGAUGAAAUUUCUCCUUUGUACUCAUUAUGGGCAACCUUUAUAGGCCUUUACAUUGCCAACUAUGUUGUGGAAAGGUCAACAGGGUGGGCUCUCACUCACCCUUUAUCAGUUCAAGAAUUUGAAAAGUCGAAGAAAAAGCAAAUGAAACCAAACUUUUUGGACAUGGUUCCCUGGUAUUCUGGAACUUCAGCUGACCUUUUCAAGACAAUGUUUGACCUCCUAGUGUCAGUAACAGUCUUUGUUGGCCGUUUUGACAUGCGCAUGAUGCAGGCAGCAAUGAACAAGGUCGAAGAUGGAGUUGAGCAGGAUUUUUUCUAUGACCACUUCAGUGAAAAAGAUGAUUUUUGGUUUGAUUUCAUGGCUGAUACUGGUGAUGGUGGGAACUCUUCUUACAGCAUUGCACGGCUACUGGCUCAGCCUUCACUUAAUGUGACGACCAGUGAUUCUAUGCUUUCCUUACCACGAGGGAACUUGCUUCUUAUUGGGGGUGAUCUUGCAUAUCCAAAUCCUUGCGCAUUUACUUACGAAAAGAGGUUCUUUCGUCCUUUUGAGUGUGCUCUUGAGCCUCCACCUUGGUACAAACUAGAGCAGAUCGCUGUGAACAAGCCUGAAAUUCCAUCUGGAUUAUCUGAGCUAAAGCAAUAUGAUGGGCCCCAGGCUUUCCUAAUUCCUGGAAAUCACGAUUGGUUUGAUGGACUUCAUACUUUCAUGAGGUACAUAUGUCAUAAGAGUUGGUUAGGUGGGUGGUUGAUGCCUCAGAAAAAGAGUUAUUUUGCUUUGCAACUCCCUAAAAAUUGGUGGGUAUUUGGCCUUGAUCUGGCACUCCAUGGCGAUAUUGAUGUGUACCAAUUUAAAUUCUUCUCAGAGCUGGUAAAGAAGAAGGUUGGGGAUGAGGAUUCAGUGAUCAUACUUACACAUGAACCUAACUGGCUUCUUGAUUGGUACUGGAAUGGUGUUUCUGGAAAGAACUUCUCUCAUUUGAUCUGUGAUUAUUUGAAGGGGAGAUGUAAACUUCGUAUUGCUGGGGACUUGCAUCAUUAUAUGCGUCACUCGUAUGUACCUUCAGAUAGGCCAGUUUAUGUGCAACAUCUACUUGUGAAUGGUUGUGGUGGGGCAUUUUUACAUCCAACCCAUGUGUUUGGAAACUUCAAGGAAUACUGUGGAGCUACUUAUGAGACCAAGGCUUCUUAUCCAUCUUUUGAAGAUUCUAGCAGGAUUGCUUUGGGGAAUAUCUUGAAAUUUCGGAAGAAAAACUGGCAGUUUGAUAUUAUUGGUGGUAUUAUCUACUUCGUGCUGGCUUUUUCUAUGUUCCCACAAUGUAAUCUCAAUCACAUGUUACAAGGUGACUCUGUUUCUGGUCAUUUGAGGAGCCUUUUUGUCACUGUAUGGGCCGCUUUUAAGUACUUGCUGGGACAGUCUUAUGUAUCACUAGCGGGUGCUUUGCUAUUGUUAAUUGUAUCUGUCACAUUUGUACCAUCAAAAGUGUCACGGAAGAGACAAGUGAUGAUUGGCGUACUUCAUUUUUUUGCGCACUUGACUGCUGCACUAAUUCUUAUGCUACUGCUGGAACUGGGUGUAGAGACCUGCAUCAGGCAUAAACUUUUGGCUACUUCAGGUUAUCACACAUUGUACCAGUGGUACCGAACUGUAGAGAGUGAGCACUUUCCAGAUCCAACAGGCCUUCGAGCUCGUAUAGAACAAUGGACAUUGGGUCUAUAUCCUGCUUGCAUCAAAUAUCUCAUGUCCGCCUUCGAUGUCCCUGAGGUCAUGGCUGUAUCAAGGACAAACAUUUGCGAGAAGGGAAUGGAAUCAUUGUCACGUGGCGUUGCUGCAAUAUAUUAUGCUUCUGUGUUUCUCUAUUUCUGGGUCUUUUCCACUCCUGUUGUCUCUCUAGUUUUUGGAAGCUACUUAUAUAUUUGCAUUAACUGGCUUCAUUUACACUUCGAUGAGGCCUUCUCCUCACUUCGAAUUGCUAAUUACAAGGGAUUUACACGAUUCCACAUAAACAGUGAAGGUGAUCUUGAAGUCUAUACCCUAGUAGUUGAUAAGGUUCCGAAGGAAUGGAAGCUGGAUCCUGAUUGGGAUGGAGAACCAAAACAGCCACAGCAGUUAAGCCACCUUAGGGAGUUUCCUAGUAAGUGGAGCUCCGCAGCUCCCUUACUGGACCCAGUAAAAACAGUAAGAAUUGUUGACCACUUUAUCAUAAAUCGGAUGGUGAAAACUCAUUCAGAAGCCUGUAAUGGUUCAGUAAAUCGCUAACGAUAUCGCUCAGUUGGGUAUAAAAAUCCAAUACCUGAUCAUUCUCAAGACGAAGGCAAGGGAUUUAGUCUUAUACAGCAACGGUUGGAAAUCUGUAUGUCUUAUACCAUGUAAACUUUGCGAGUGUGAUUUGAGGUGUUUCAACUCUGGCAUGUGCUCUCCACAUUUUCGCUUUUCCUGGCAUGGGAGAGAACAUGAUCAAGGCUGACCUAGCACGAGACAUGAACAUGAUCAAGAGAGUCAAUCUUGAAAAGGCCUAUUCUCUCACUGUGCGAUUGGUUAUUGAUCGCAUGACUCUUUCAUCGAAUCAAAAUCAGUGAUGGAUGUUUGCUGCCUUGCUUCUGACACUUCAUGAGAUCGAGUCACUCAUUUAGGUGACGCUUGCAACAGCCAAGGUGACUACAACUUAUUAGAGAAAGCAAGAGAAGCUAUUCGAUUCUUUCAUAUUUAGCUGAUAAGAUUGGAAUAAGGGAGAAUUACAUUUAAAUGCUGCUUUGAUUGCUAGAAGGAUAAAGAGAUACAUUGAAGAAGGAAAGAGUGAAAAAAUUGAGGAGUACAACAAAGUCAGAGGUACAACAGAGCUUAGAGUGAAAGAUACUUGCUACAACUACAAGCAAUUUACUUAUGGUCUAUAUUUCUGUAGUUAGACCGUGCACUUAUUCAUUGUUCAUUGGGGGGCUUUCAAAUGGCCCUCAUUUUGGAAUUGAAGCUCAGAAAUACUCCGGGGGAAUUAGGCUUCCAGUUAAAACGUCCAGUACUCUAAUUUUUGCAACUGGAAUUGUAUGUGAGAAUCUGAAGGUAAUUGAUUAGAAGUUUCCAUGAUUUAUUUUGA
This is an RNA transcript of Rhodamnia argentea, 4244 nucleotides long. RefSeq lists it as uncharacterized. The record is from RefSeq and is a predicted model, not a curated record. The transcript has 17 exons. NCBI's taxonomy places the organism in Eukaryota, Viridiplantae, Streptophyta, Magnoliopsida, Myrtales, Myrtaceae.